CAUAAGGUUAUGAUGAAUGUCCUUCUGGCUAAAUCUUUGCAUACAUACUUCAUUUUGUUAGAAUAGAUUUUUAGAAGCAGAAUUUCUGGGUCAGAAGGUAGGACAAACUAAAAUCCAAUAUCAGAUUUUUACCUCCAAAACAAGCUGUAUCGAUUGACAUCCCCUAGCGAUGCAUAAGAAUGUUUGUAUCCCCACCUAGGCCCUCCACCUGUGUUACUAAAAUUCACUUCCUCAAACUGUGCCAACUUAGUGGGUGAAAGGUGCAUGUGAGGGCCUCUAAUCCUCAUUGCAAACUGCACUUUUAAAGGGUGCAAGUAGCAUCUUGGGGAAAAAUAGGAGAGUAGGUGAUGGCUCCAGGGAGGUCAGCUCUGAGCCCCCAGGGAGGGCUGACCUGUGAGAAGAGCAGAGGAGACAAUCUAGCGUGGCUUGAGGUGGCUGCAUUGCCAGUGGGUGCAAAGCCCAGGGACAGGAUUCUUCAUUUUUUCAGAAACCCCCAGGUGGAAGGGGGAGGGCCCCAGGCCAUGAGAAGCAAGAAGGCCAUGAACGAUUCAGAACCUGAGGUCGAGGGACCAUUGGCACGCACGCAGGAUUUUUGUUUUUCCCCCUCAAAGAGACUAUGGUGAUCUUUUUCUGACAACUUACUGGUGCACUAAAAGGGGUUCCUGGAAUAGGGUUGGGGGUGCUGGUGGUGAAUGCUCUUGGGUGAUCAAAAUGCGCCUCUCUCUUAGAGUUUGCCCCGUGCACAGGCUUGGAGUAGGAGCCUGUGUCCUUGUGUCCUCUGAUACUGGGCUGUGCUGCUUGGGGAAGGGAGAAUAAAGACUGCUUUCAUGCACCCAGCUGAGAGGUGGGGCAAGGGACAGCAAGGGCUCCCUUAUUCAUAAACUCCAGAUUUUAGAAAGUUUGCACUGAAGGGCGAACCUGGACAUUGGGAAGAGCAGGAUAUUCCCUCAACGUUCACCUACGCUUUAGGUUUCUGUAAACAAUUCCUGCUUUUACCACAUCAGCCUCAAGGGCCAACUCCUUCUCUUUGGUUUUUCUGCACUGCUGUAGACAGGGCAAGUCUCUAGACAACUUAGUUUCUUAAAAACUGUAGGACAAAAAGGAGAAAUAAACAAGAUAAUUUGACUUCCAAUACGUAGUCACAUGUCUUUGGGUUAGGGUUGCCAGAUGUCUCCCUCGAUUGUUUCCAGUCUGACUCUCAAGUUUGGGAAUCCAAAUUUCAGCCCUACCCCUCAGGGGCACCUACAAGGAACAUAAGCUUCCUUGACGUUCACCUUGGAGAGCUGGCACCAGAGUGAAAUGAGCAGCUCCAGUCCACUCUCUGUGAAUUUAGAGCCAUACCUUGCUCUUACAGUUUGCUUGUCCCCUAGCUAUUAUUUCCUGUUGAUUAUGAUUUUCAAAUACGGUUUUAUCCAAGGCAUAGUUUUGGGCCCAGGUGACAUUUCCCCAUCCUGCACUCCAGCUGGAUUCUUCAUUAGCCUCUGCAUUCAUUCCCUAGGGCUGCUGUGAAAGAUGACCACAAACUAGGUGGCUUAAAACAACAAAAAUUUAUUCUCUCACAGUUCUGGAGGCCAUAAGUUUGAAAUCAAGGUGCCAGCAGGGUUGGUUCCUUCUGGAGCCUAUGAAGGAGGCUUCCGUUCUUUUCUUCUUUGCAUGUCUUCUCUUCUUAGGAAGACACCAGCCACUGGAUUCAGAGUCUACCCCAAUCCGGUAUGACCGCAUGUUAAGUGGGAACAUUAGCAAAGACUCCAUUUCCAAAUAAGGUUACAUUCUGAGGCGCUGGGUGGACAUGAAUUAUUUCGGGCAACCAUUCAGCCCAUUGCGGUCUCUCUGCCUUCAGACUCCUCUUUCUACCUGUCCAUGCCACGGACCCUGUGGGAGUCAUUUUUUUUAACCUUCCUGUAGUGGAACCACCCCACCCCUGCUUUCAAGCCCUUCAAAGACUCCCCACUGCCAACAGAAUAAAGUCUUAUCUCUUUAGCUCAGCUUAUGGAGACUCACCAUAGUCUGGCCCCUAUGAUCUUUUCUACAUUCCAUUUCUCCAUUUCUCCUACACACUCCCUACCAUCCCUGGGAAAGGUCUUCUAUGUUGUUGAACAUGCUGUGGAUGCUCUUUUCUCCUUCCUCCUUCUGUCUAUUGCUGAGACGCUCUUUUUCUCGAACACCCGUGUCAUAUAUCUUUCCUUGUUCAUGAGGACGUUUCUAGCCAGCCCAGGUCAAAGGGCUCACCUCUCUCCACAGACCAACCCUAGCCCACACGGUGCACCAUUCCUCAGUCUGUAGUGUGGCUGUCCUCUACUGGUGACAUUUCCAUUUUGCAUUUCCAUUUUACCCAGGGGCAAGCCUGUGUGCUAUACUUCUUUGGGUCCUUGGUUUUGACAAUGGUGUUCGGAACAGGUGGCUUCAUGGUCAAUGAUUUUGUAUGCUGCUGCUGGUGUGAGCAUGCUGAAUUACUCCAUGCCUGCAGCUCCCUCUAAAGCUGAUGGAGAGCCCUGUGCUGAGAUGAAAUGUGGGGAAAGGAGAAAUUUGUUGCCACUUUGAGAGUCAAAGGCAGUGGUCUUUCCAAGGAAGAGUGAACUAGCAGAAUCACUGCAGGAGAAGCAAAUUCUGGAGGCUGGAUGCCAAGAGGUGCUGUAAGAAAAGUUGUAAAGAUAUAUGUGGGGGAAACCACUGCUCCCAUCCUCCUUGGGAGACAAUUGGUAAACGAUAUAGUUGGCAAAGGAUAGGGACUGGGAGGGAAGUAAAAGAGGAGACAGAGUACAAUGAACAGAAUAGAUGCCAAUGGCCUCAUCAGCUUUAACAGAUGAUCUGAAAACUUUAAAGUAACAAGGAAGUUUUUAUUCCCAUAAUUGUUAGUAGUGUCUUUUGCUAGCUCCUCCGAUGUGACAGUGAUUGACCAUUGGCAGCUGGGUCUUCAAACUCUCUUCUAAAAUGUUGCAUCUCUAUGGGGACACAUGAGGAACUUAGUUCUUCUAUCUGGAAGUAGGUGUCCUCUAAGAUUUCUUGUGUUGCGUACUCUGUAUCCUUUUUUUUUUUUGGGCUAUGUCUCAGUUGCAUCAAAGCCCCAUUAACAUUGCCCUUUGGGAUCAAAAAGUAGGCCACCCGAGAAGAAAGAGUAGAGUUUUAGAGAACUGGGGUGAGAAUUCUGGGCAGAUGGCCAAGGUGUGGGCUCUAGGCUGAGCUCGCUGACACAUGACAUUGUGUGUUUCAGGUACUGGGACAAGUUUUCAAUGUCAAAAUCUUUGAAGCCACCAGGGCCUUUUUUGUUUUUGUUUUUUGGCUGUCUUGGCAGUACUCCUUCAUAUAGUAGUAGGUUCAGAAACUCAGGCUAAGGAAAGCAUCCAGAAAAGAUUGUCUGCCUCUGCAACAGUUUGUGGAUAGCUUGUAAUUGUAGUUCUGAUCUUGUCAACCUGUCUUAUAACUCUAAAUGUGUGGUCUCACCUGGCUAGAUAUAGAAAAUACCUAUCUUCUUAUAGAAGCAGGCAAUCCUCAACCCCAUUAAAAAAUUAUGGUUUCUUGGACAUUCCAUCUAAUAGGAAUGCCAGUUUGCCUCCUGAUAUGUUGCCAGUCUGGCCAUUUCAGCAGUCACUAUUCAGCACUAGAGGAGGACUUCAGUAAAAGUUCCUUUGUCAGUAAGUCUUCCACGCAACAUAUUUGUUUCCAGGUCCUAAUGGCAAUUCCUCAGGAUCUGGAGAAAAAAAAAAAAAAAAAAAAAAAAAAGAAAAGGAUCAACUCUCACGUUUGAGUUUGUCCCAUUCAUCUGCAUAAAGACUAUCCAUCAGUUUGAAGUGUCUUUUUGAGAAUCAGAAAGGGGAGAGGAUAUAGGGAGCAAAGGAUGUAUUCUUUGAGAUCCUGCUCUUAAGCAGUGAUUCUUCUCUAGCACUCCUUAUUUCUAGAAUUUUCCAGCCAUCUCUAACAAAAGCAAAGUGCAAAGAGCAUUUAAUACAAACCAAAAGGUGAAAUGAUCUUUUGAUAGUUCAGUGUUGUGGCUGUGACUUGGAAUUUUUCACUACAUUAAAAAAAAAAAAAGCCACAUAUGCCCGGGUAGUCUCUGCAUCAAGUCUCAUACCAUUGCUCCGACGUUACGAGGCUGAGGCAGUUGUGGCUGAUUGAUGUCACUCUUCUAGCCAUUUCCUAUUUCCACAGAGAGAGGCCGGGUUAAUCCAACUCCAGUCUAACUUCGGAGACAUCAAGGAUUCUAGGCAGCGUGUCCCGUGUUUCUUUUUCCAAGUGAAUUCCUGGAGGAAAACAAUGAGGUCCAUGUGUCUUUGCAUCCCCAGGGACCAGCUCAGUAAUGGGCAUAUAAGAACACGCUGAAAAAAAUUGUUUUGUUUUUGAACGACAACGAUUUAAGAGUAGUAAGAUCCUCGUAAAUAUAGGACAUUGUACUCGUGUUUUUCUUCCGAGCAUACAAAUAUUUGCAAUGAGGUUGCACCGCAGACUCCACAGCCAUUGUGGCACCUGCGGCUCUGUGACUUGGAGGCAGAGGAGAUGGAAUGCCGGUGAGAAGAAGGAGAUUGUGGUGUGAAUGUGAGGGAUGAGGGUGAAUUAGUUUUCUACGGCGGCUGUUACAAAUUUACCACAAGAUAAAUGAGUUAAAACAGUACAGAUUUAUUAUCUCGCAGUUCUGGAAGACAGAAGUUCAAACUACUGGCAAAGUUCAAAGUGUUGGCAAGGCUGUGCUCCUCAGGAGACUCUAGAGGAGAACCUUUUUCUUGCCUUUUCCUGUUUCUAGGGGCCACCUGCAUCCUUCGGCUCAUGGCCUCUUCCUCCAUCUUAAAAGCCAGCUUCUGCAAAUUCGUCUCUAAUUCUGACACUACUUCUCUUGCCUCCCUCUCUCAUUUAUAGGGGUCCCUGUGAUGACAGUGAGCUCACCCUGAUAAUCGAGGCUAAUCUCCCCAUCUUAGGGUUAGCCUAUUAGCAACCUAAAUUCCACCGUCAACUUUAAUUCCCCCCUUGCCAUGCACCGUGACAUAUUCACAGGUUCUGGGGAGGAGGGCAUGAGCAUCUUUGUCGGGGCAUUGUUCUGUCCAUCACAGAGAAGCACUCAGAGAUUCCGGACUCCAGUAUCCUCAUUGUCCACUUGAGGAAGCUUGGGCUCAGAGGCUUUAUGUUAAUUCCAACAGUUUUUGCAACAGGAGGAGGAGAAUAUCUGUCCAGGAGCCCUAAUCAAGACUCAGCAGGAGGCUGGUGGCUUCCUUUCCUUCCUUCUUUUGCUUCCUUCCUGUUCUUCCUGUGCUUCCUUUCAGUUCUUCCUUCUACAUAUGGGGCCCAUCACAUUCCCACUGACUCAGAUGCUGAGGGGCCAGACUGAAGGGACAGUGGCCAUUGCAUCAAGUCAGAGAACGGAUCUGACCCAUCUAGUAGAAGCUUAUUGUUUUGGCAGAAGCAUAAGCUCUUAGAGGUGCAGCUGCAGGGUAUGACCUAUUGGGGACAUUGAGCUCAGUGACCAUGGGCCCUGAGAGUCUGAAAUCCUGGAAUUUCUCCCAAAACGAAGUCCAUGUAGGGAAGCCAAAGUGUGAGUCUUAACCCGGCUGGUUUACAACUGACUGACAUUUGCUGCCUGGGCAGCUGCUGUGGGUGCCCGGAAACCCUAUUGGACUAGGACUGGCCCCGGCAAAAAACAAGUGUUAUAGCUGCCCAGUGUCCUCUGAGUGGAUGCUGGUGAUUCUGGUAUGGAGCCCAGAUGUAAGGCAGCAGUGGUCCAGAAGGCACCAGAAGAGGUCUCCUGUCAAAGUCAGGGCCAGAGAAGAAGGCACAGGAAACCUACUGCACGAGACUUUCACUUGCAACGAGCAACCCAUGAUGAGGAGGGAGGAUUCCUGGGGGCAUUGAGUCGCAUCCAUAAGGACACCUUUUCCAAGUUACUUCAUUUUGUAUAGCUGCACAGUCCCUCACCCAUAUCACCAUACCAAGAGCUUGCAGCUGACAAGAAUACAUCUUCUGACCAAGAUCCCUUCUGGGACCAAGGACACAAGGACCCAAGACCUUCUUGCUUGGAAAGUGAAUUCCUGAGAAUUCCGAGAUGAUGCCAGUCUUGGAGGAAGACGACAUGAGGACCCAAAACCUUCUUGCUUGGAAAGUGAAUUCCUGAGAAUUCCGAGAUGAUGCCAGUCUUGGAGGAAGACGACAUGAGGACCCAAAACCUUCUUGCUUGGAAAGUGAAUUCCUGAGAAUUCCGAGAUGAUGCCAGUCUUGGAGGAAGACGACAUGAGGACCCAAAACCUUCUUGCUUGGAAAGUGAAUUCCUGAGAAUUCCGAGAUGAUGCCAGUCUUGGAGAAAGAUGACAUGAGGACCCAAAACCUUCUUGCUUGGAAAGUGAAUUCCUCAGAACUCCACGAAGACUCCAGUCUUGGAGGAAGACGAGGUGUUGAGAGAUAGCUGGGAUCCCUGAGGAAGGCAGCCCCAGUCUCCGGUGGAGAAUUAAGAGGGGCCCAAGCAGAUGGUUGGUGGUGGAAAUGUCACCUCAGUAUAGUACUAUGGAGUUUCCUUUCACCCCCAACAGCCGAUGGUUUCCAGGGGCGAAGAGUGAAAAUUGAAGCAAGGUGUCUAUUGUCCAGCUGUAGACAAGGAGGCAGUGCGCCUGCCACCCGCAAGGAAGAGUCAGUUCAGAAGCACAGCAGCUGCUGGAAACCCAGGAAGUUUCCAGUUCGUUCCUGCUGGGACUUGGCAAGAACUGCACUGUCAAGGCUGCAAGAGGCUCCUGACGGCUUCUGACAUGUACAGAAUGGAAUAAGAGAACCUAGCAGAAAUGGAAGCAGAGGCAAGAGGUCUGGAGGCCAGGAAAAUGUCAAUGGAAAGCAGCUAGCAUGAAGACCCCACAGUGUUCCUCCCUCUAGUAGUCUGGUAUUAUUUGGAGCUGAGAUGCUCCCAAUAUGGUUGGGACAUUUGUCCCCUCCAAAUCUCAUGUGAGAAUUUGAUCCCCCGUUUUGGGGAUGGGGUCUAAUGGGAGGAGUUUGGGUCAUGAUGGGGGACCCCUCAUGAAUGGCUUGGUGCCCUGCUCACCAGGAAUGAAUGAGCUCUCACUCUACUAGUUCACUGGAGAGCUGGUUGUUUAAAGAGCCUGGCAUCUCCCCCACUUUCUCUCUUGCUCCCCCUUCUCACUGUGUGAUAUACCUGCUCCCCUUUGCCAUCCAUCAUGAGUGGAAGCUUCUUGAAGCCUCCACCUAAAGCAGAUGCCGACACUAUGCUUCCUGCACAGCCUGCCAUACCAUGAGCCAAUAAACCUGUUUUCUUUGUAAAUUA
Gorilla gorilla gorilla (western lowland gorilla) is the source of this 7246-nucleotide long non-coding RNA. RefSeq lists it as uncharacterized. The record is from RefSeq and is a predicted model, not a curated record. The transcript is spliced from 4 exons. Lineage: Eukaryota; Metazoa; Chordata; Mammalia; Primates; Hominidae.